AUGCCCUCUUUGGCAGCAUGUAUAUUAAAAAUUGGAAUGAUACAGAGAUUACCCUUGCCCAAGGAGGGUACAAAUUCAAGAAACAAUCCAUGUUUAA
This 97-nucleotide small nuclear RNA is filed under the name Mus spicilegus (steppe mouse). Lineage: Eukaryota; Metazoa; Chordata; Mammalia; Rodentia; Muridae. The record is from RNAcentral.